GACGAACGCUGGCGGCGUGCUUAACACAUGCAAGUCGAACGGAAAGGCCCUGCUUUUGUGGGGUGCUCGAGUGGCGAACGGGUGAGUAACCCGUGAGUAACCUGCCCUUGACUUUGGGAUAACUUCAGGAAACUGGGGCUAAUACCGGAUCGGAGCUCCUGCUGCAUGGUGGGGGUUGGAACGUUUCGGCGGUUGGGGAUGGACUCGCGGCUUAUCAGCUUGUUGGUGGGGUAGUGGCUUACCAAGGCAUUGACGGGUAGCCGGCCUGAGAGGGUGACCGGCGACAUUGGGACUGAGAGACGGCGCAGACUCCUACGGGAGGCAGCAGUGGGGAAUAUUACACAAUGGGCGGAAGCCUGAUGCAGCAACGCCGCGUGCGGGAUGACGGCCUUCGGGUUGUAAACCGCUUUCGCCUGUGACGAAGCGUGAGUGACGGUAAUGGGUAAAGAAGCACCGGCUAACUACGUG
RNAcentral lists this ribosomal RNA (468 nucleotides) under uncultured bacterium. RNAcentral describes it as "partial 16S ribosomal RNA". It matches the Rfam family "Bacterial small subunit ribosomal RNA", at positions 28 to 507 of the family's 1533-position model. The record is from RNAcentral.